GUGGAUUAGGUACCCUGGUAGUCCACGCUGUAAACGAUGACGACUAGGUGUGGGGGGGUUCAGUCCCUUCCGUGCCGCAGCUAACGCAUUAAGUCGUCCGCCUGGGGAGUACGGCCGCAAGGUUGAAACUCAAAGGAAUUGACGGGGGCCCGCACAAGCGGUGGAGCAUGUGGGUCAAUUCGAUGCAGAGCGAAGAACCUUACCUGGGCUUGACAUGUAGGAAGUAGGAACCGGAAACGGGGACGACCUGUUAAGUCAGGAGCCUACACAGGUGGUGCACGGCCGUCGUCAGCU
RNAcentral lists this ribosomal RNA (294 nucleotides) under uncultured bacterium. Its description in RNAcentral is "partial 16S ribosomal RNA". It matches the Rfam family "Bacterial small subunit ribosomal RNA", at positions 773 to 1060 of the family's 1533-position model. The record is from RNAcentral.